This is a long non-coding RNA of Felis catus (domestic cat), 535 nucleotides long. RefSeq lists it as uncharacterized. The record is from RefSeq and is a predicted model, not a curated record. NCBI's taxonomy places the organism in Eukaryota, Metazoa, Chordata, Mammalia, Carnivora, Felidae. The transcript has 2 exons.
UUGUGUUGCAGUCAAAUUUGAAGAUUGGUUGGUAACAGAAGUCCUCUGAAAAUGGUUUCCUACAGUUUGUGGUCCAUGAGGGAUUCCUGAAAAAUAGGAGGGAAAAGCCAAAAUUUGUAAUGAAAUGACUGAAAGCUGCAGGUGAAGGACUUGGAGAUACAUCAGGAACAGAAUCAACACGAACAACAGGAGUAGAGACUGGUUGCUGCUGAUAGUACAUCUGAAUGGGAAGUGGUAUAGCCCUCCGUUUUACUCCGACCACAUGAAUAUGUGCCUGCCCGUUGCUGCUGGAAUCCUCCACUCUCUUCACUGUAUGAUUUGGAAAGACCGUUCUGUAAAUAAAGUACAUACAUACUUAGUUUUGUUAACUAGCACACGAGCAAAAAACACUGACUUCUAACAGUGUUUACAUAACAGCAGCAGGACAUUUGCUGCUACUCAUUAUGAACCAGUAUGAUUCAUAUAGUUAUAGAUUCUGUAAGGGUAGGGAGCAAAGAAAAAACAUAAAAGAUCAAUUCUCCAAUUUUUAAAAUCA